GGCGGAAUUGAGAGCGUUCUUCGACGUCCAUGAUCAAGAAGGGAGUUUCCCUGGCGGGGUUCAUUUAGAAAUGACUGGUCAAAACGUGACAGAAUGUGUCGGAGGGUCACGCACCAUCACUUACAACGAUCUAAGCUCACGCU
RNAcentral lists this small RNA (143 nucleotides) under Arabidopsis thaliana (thale cress). RNAcentral's name for it is "ATSL234790". The record is from RNAcentral. Lineage: Eukaryota; Viridiplantae; Streptophyta; Magnoliopsida; Brassicales; Brassicaceae.